This 404-nucleotide ribosomal RNA is filed under the name uncultured bacterium. RNAcentral describes it as "bacterial SSU rRNA". It matches the Rfam family "Bacterial small subunit ribosomal RNA", at positions 29 to 418 of the family's 1533-position model. The record is from RNAcentral.
AACGAACGCUGGCGGCGUGGAUAAGACAUGCAAGUCGAACGGGACUAAAUCUGUAGCAAUACAGGUUUAGUUUAGUGGCGAACGGGUGCGUAACACGUGGGGAAUCUGCCGAGAAGUGGGGGAUAGCUCGCCGAAAGGCGAAUUAAUACCGCAUAUGAUCAGCUAAGACAUCUUAGCGACAUCAAAGCCGGGGCAACCUGGCGCUUCUUGAUGACCCCCGCGGCCUANCAGCUAGUUGGUGAGGUAACGGCUCACCAAGGCUAUGACGGGUAGCUGGUCUGAGAGGACGACCAGUCACACUGGAACUGAGACACGGUCCAGACACCUACGGGGUGCAGCAGUCGAGAAUUUUUCUCAAUGGGGCAACCCUGAAGGAGCGACGCCGCGUGGAGGAUGAAGGCUUU